ACUACCGGUACCUGCACGUGUCCAAAAAAUUCUCAAAUUAGACCUAGGGCCCCUUUUAGCCAAUAUGGGAAUUUCGGCACGGCAGCUCCGCCGUGCUCCGGCAACGGCACUGCCGCCUGCGGUGGUGAUUCGCCUCGGGUUGGCCAUUUUCGGCCGAAUUUGGCCAAACUUGCAUUGGUUCCUGUGAUAAAACAACCCUAGGGCCAUCGAUAGGCCAAAAAAUCACAAAAAACUGAGACUUACCGGCGGCGAUGCUCUCGGGUGUGGCGGUUUCUCAGGCGCGAGUCGCAGUUUGAUGUUUUGCUCCGGUCAACCUGUAGAGAAAAGGACGGUGAUCACAGUGGUGUAAAAAUUACAUCGAACGGGAAUCGGAAAGGGCCUCAUCGGAGGCAAAAAUCGAGAGAAGCCGCGGCGGCACCGCUGGACUUCGGCGGUGUUUUUCAGCCGAUUGGCUGAUGGUUUGCCUCUAAUUUGGCCGUAGGCGGAUUAAGCAUCGAAAAACAAGCUAAGGAGAGAAAAUUUACCUCGUUUGGCGGUCGGAAAACCCUCCGGUGCGGUGGCGAGUUGCGGCGGUCGGCUCCUCC
RNAcentral lists this long non-coding RNA (584 nucleotides) under Carica papaya (papaya). RNAcentral describes it as "long non-coding RNA (CPAP_LNC002288)". Lineage: Eukaryota; Viridiplantae; Streptophyta; Magnoliopsida; Brassicales; Caricaceae. The record is from RNAcentral.